This 253-nucleotide ribosomal RNA is filed under the name uncultured bacterium. RNAcentral describes it as "partial 16S ribosomal RNA". It matches the Rfam family "Bacterial small subunit ribosomal RNA", at positions 524 to 776 of the family's 1533-position model. The record is from RNAcentral.
GACAGAGGGUGCAAACGUUGCUCGGAAUUACUGGGCGUAAAGCGCGUGUAGGCGGCUCGUUAAGUACCUUGUGAAAUCCCACGGCUCAACCGUGGAACUGCUGGGUAUACUGGCGAUCUUGAGCCACCUAGGGGCGAGCGGAACAAGCGGUGGAGCGGUGAAAUGCGUAGAUAUCGCUUGGAACGCCAAUGGUGAAAACAGCUCGCUGGGGGUGUGCUGACGCUGAGACACGAAAGCCAGGGGAGCGAACGGG